RNAcentral lists this non-coding RNA (149 nucleotides) under Pan troglodytes (chimpanzee). Lineage: Eukaryota; Metazoa; Chordata; Mammalia; Primates; Hominidae. The record is from Rfam by way of RNAcentral.
GCUGGGCGUGGUGGCUCAUGCCUGUAAUCCCAGCUACUCAGGAGGCUGAGACAGGAGAAUCGCUUGAGCCCGGGAGGCUGAGGUUGCAGUGAGCCGAGAUCGCACCAUUGCACUCCAGCCUGGGCAACAAGAGCCAGACUCUGUCUCAA